Non-coding RNA from Paramuricea clavata, 526 nucleotides. The record is from the annotation of a GenBank genome assembly. Lineage: Eukaryota; Metazoa; Cnidaria; Anthozoa; Malacalcyonacea; Plexauridae.
GUACAAUACAGAAACAUAUAUUAUUAUAUUAUGACGACAAUUACGUUAAUAUAUGAGUGUGAUUUGUGUUAUUUGGUACAAGAUUUUUACGCUAUUUACAGGAUAUUAACAUUAAGAUAAUGUCAACACUAGACUAUAGGUAUAAAACUCCAUCUAUACAUUAAAUAUAUGCUAAUUUAUUAGUGUCAAAAUACGGGCUGUGGAGGCUAUGGAUGCUUAAGCUGCAGCGAACUUAAAUUUCACGGCCAACUAAACUUCGAACACAUGCAUGCAAAAUACCAGGCUAAGUUCCAGCCUCUCUUUCCAAAAUGUGCAAGCUCCAGCACAUCAAGGGUGGGACUGAAGCCGCUGCACAAAGCUCUGUGGUACUAUAUUAAUAACUAUACUACGAUACAGCAAAUUUCAAUUGUAUUUACAAACAGAGAUAUGACUAAAGCCCCGUUUACACUACGCUCAAUUUUUGGUACGGCACGGAUAAAAUUCGUACCCGUACCACUUUUUUGGUUCUUGGACUACCUAUUUAGCU